GGUGGCUGUCACCGCCCCGUUUCUCUCCCGAUGGUGCUCUCCUGAGGCCAGCUGCCUGCGGGCGUCGCCCCGGGAUGGAGCACAUCCGGACAACCAAGGUAGUCGGCGGGAGAUCCUCGCAGCUGCCGGGGUCCAUUGGGCAGAGGCGGACGGGCAGUUUGGGGGUGCGGGGCCUCCGUUGAGGGCCGGCAGUUUGGGGGUGCGGAGGCCGUGUGGACAGCGCAGGCGCCUUGGCAGGAGGUGCUUGGGGAGUCGGCAAACGGUGGCCGCCCAGCGAGCUUUGCUCUUUUGGACAAGACUGGGGCUGCUUUUUACUUUGGGGGAUUUCGGCCGAUCGCCGCCUGGCUCGCCCCCAGGCUGGUGGGUCCAGUUAUCCAUCAGUGCUGUGCUGUUCUUGAACCAGUCUUGCUCUGGUUUAAGUGCCCCGCCCGCUCUUUUCCGCGGUGCAAAUAUUAGCGCAUCCGAGGCCACUCACUUUUCUAGUUCUCCAGACACUUAGAGUUGAUACUUCUGUGCUUCCAACUUUAGGCAUUGUCUUAAGUGUAGGGAGCCAACUUGACAGCAGUUAUGCAGAAGGGGAAAGAAAGGCUGUGUCAUAUUGUAAAAGGUCCAUGGAACUUUCCUAUAACUGAGCUUGUUUGUCAAGUCCGUGCUUAAUUUUUCUGUGUGAGAAGAAUUCAGAGAAUGGCCAAACUUCAGCCUCAGAAAGGGCCAAAACAGAAAUGGAGAUCAAAGGGCGUGAAUGACCUUUUAAGAUGAGGAAAAACACCUCUCUGGGCUUUGCCAGAGCCUUAACUGUCACUUACUGUCUGUCCUAAAGGUCUUAAAGUUACAGGUCAUUUGGGAAUAAACUGCAUUUUUUUCUUCAUUAUUCUUUAAAACGCUUCACAGUCCUUGAUGUUAUGGAUAACAUAACAUGAAUUUUUGUUAGGAUUUAUUUUGGAGUUUGCCUAUACUAUUUGUAGGAAAUGUGGAGGUGCUCCUCUUCCAAAAUUUUGGUUUUUUUGAGACAAGGUUUCUCUGUGUAGCUCUGGCUGUCCUGGAACUUGCACUGUAGACUAGGCUGGCCUUGAAUUUACAGAGAGCUAUCCUCCUUUGAUUCCAAGUGCAGGGAUUAAAGGUGUGCACCACCACUGCUUGGCAGAUUUUAUUUAUUUAUUUAAAGAGAAGGAACGUUUAAGUUGCUGACAUUUAAAAUUUGAAAAUGGGAGGAUGAUUCGAUGUACAGCAGAGGGUGCUAAGGCAGGGAAGAGAAUGAGAGUGAGCAUGGGAGCCCUUCUUGUCCCUGUCACAGGGCCCUAACAGCUGUCGGCUCAGAAACUGCCUUCUACUCUGAACCUCAUUGCUUGUUUGCUGCUGAGAAUCUCUCUCUCUCUCUCUCUCUCUCUCUCUCUCACACACACACACACACACACACACACAUCAGUGAAAGCAAACAGAAUCCAGUGAACUAAAAACACCCUGAUCACUAAGUGAGCACUGGUGGGAAAAUCUAGAUGAUUCCCUUCAUUAGUUACAAAAUGACCUCCGUCAGUUUAUGAAGAACCGAUCUGGCCUUUGGGGUGUAUAGCUGUCAUUUUUAUGAUCUUGAAGGUUGUUCCUGAUUAAACCUUACUGUCUUCCUGGUAGGCCCAUGCUGCUGUUAGGUAAGGCUGCUUUUUGCUCACCUUUUAGAUCUGACCUUUUAUGUCUUUUUUUAAUGGUUAAGAGAUUUCCAGUUGGUUUCCAACUGAAGUUGCUUCUUAAGGGACUGCCUUUGUUAUUUUGUGUCACUGUUGUGGCAAGGAGGCGUUUCUCUAGAGAAGUCUUAAGUGGGUGUAUAUAGACUAUAGUGGAACCGAGGUUUGCUGGGAACUAGCAUGUACACACUUGACUGACACUGGCAUCCCACACAAGAGCAUCAUGAACCUCACACUGUAGUCUGAUAAUUGUUAUAUAGACUCUACUGUUUCCUUAAAUUAUGGUUUGGAAAAAGUGUAGUCUUACAGAAUUGCUUUGAACAUAACCAAGUUUUUGUUUUUAUUAUGUAUACUCUUCUCCCAAACAUAUUUAAUUGCAUAAAAAUAUGUUUUAGGCUAGGCGUGGUGGCGCACGCCUUUAAUCCCAGAACUCGGGAGGCAGAGGCAGGCAGAUUUCUGAGUUCGAGGCCAGCCUGGUCUACAAAGUGAGUUCCAGGACAGCCAGGGCUACACAGAGAAACCCUGUCAUGAAAAAAC
Molecule: long non-coding RNA, 2216 nt
Filed under: Mus musculus (house mouse)
Lineage: Eukaryota; Metazoa; Chordata; Mammalia; Rodentia; Muridae
Description: long non-coding RNA chr14:60265263-60267479
Source: RNAcentral